This 229-nucleotide ribosomal RNA is filed under the name uncultured bacterium. RNAcentral describes it as "partial 16S ribosomal RNA". It matches the Rfam family "Bacterial small subunit ribosomal RNA", at positions 103 to 334 of the family's 1533-position model. The record is from RNAcentral.
CGGGUGAGUAAUACAUCGGAACGUACCCAGUAGUGGGGGAUAGCUCGGCGAAAGCCGGAUUAAUACCGCAUACGACCUAUGGGUGAAAGCGGGGGAUCGCAAGACCUCGCGCUAUUGGAGCGGCCGAUGUCGGAUUAGCUAGUUGGUGAGGUAAAGGCUCACCAAGGCUACGAUCCGUAGCUGGUCCUGAGAGGACGACCAGCCACACUGGGACUGAGACACGGCCCAG